This 955-nucleotide ribosomal RNA is filed under the name uncultured SAR86 cluster bacterium. RNAcentral's name for it is "bacterial SSU rRNA". It matches the Rfam family "Bacterial small subunit ribosomal RNA", at positions 394 to 1343 of the family's 1533-position model. Lineage: Bacteria; Pseudomonadati; Pseudomonadota; Gammaproteobacteria. The record is from RNAcentral.
AUACCGCGUGUGUGAAGAAGGCCUUCGGGUCGUAAAGCACUUUAAGCAGGGAGAAAAAGUUAUAGGUUAAUACCCUAUGACCUUGAUGUUACCUGCAGAAUAAGCACCGGCUAAUUCCGUGCCAGCAGCCGCGGUAAUACGGAAGGUGCAAGCGUUAAUCGGAAUUACUGGGCGUAAAGCGCGCGUAGGUGGUUUGUUAAGUUGGAUGUGAAAGCCCUGGGCUCAACCUAGGAACUGCAUCCAAAACUAACUCACUAGAGUACGAUAGAGGGAGGUAGAAUUCAUAGUGUAGCGGUGGAAUGCGUAGAUAUUAUGAAGAAUACCAGUGGCGAAGGCGGCCUCCUGGAUCUGUACUGACACUGAGGUGCGAAAGCGUGGGUAGCGAACAGGAUUAGAUACCCUGGUAGUCCACGCCGUAAACGAUGACAACUAGCUGUUGGGAGACUAUGUCUUUCAGUGGCGCAGCUAACGCUUUAAGUUGUCCGCCUGGGGAGUACGGCCGCAAGGCUAAAACUCAAAUGAAUUGACGGGGACCCGCACAAGCGGUGGAGCAUGUGGUUUAAUUCGAUGCAACGCGAAAAACCUUACCUACUCUUGACAGACUUGGAGGCUCUUGUAAUGAGAGCGUGCCUUUUGGAACCAAGAUACAGGUGCUGCAUGGCUGUCGUCAGCUCGUGUCGUGAGAUGUUCCGUUAAGUCGGAUAACGAGCGCAACCCUUACCCUUAUUUGCCAGCGAUUCGGUCGGGAACUAUAAGGGGACUGCCGGUGAUAAACCGGAGGAAGGUGAGGACGACGUCAAGUCAUCAUGGCCCUUACGAGUAGGGCUACACACGUGCUACAAUGGAGAAUACAGACGGACGCUAAGCCGCGAGGUGGUGCUAAUCCUAGAAAGUUCUUCGUAGUCCGGAUUGGAGUCUGCAACUCGACUCCAUGAAGUCGGAAUCGCUAGUAAUC